This 440-nucleotide ribosomal RNA is filed under the name uncultured bacterium. RNAcentral's name for it is "partial 16S ribosomal RNA". It matches the Rfam family "Bacterial small subunit ribosomal RNA", at positions 338 to 795 of the family's 1533-position model. The record is from RNAcentral.
CCUACGGGAGGCAGCAGUGGGGAAUAUUGCACAAUGGGGGGAACCCUGAUGCAGCGACGCCGCGUGGAGGAAGAAGCACUUCGGCGUGUAAACUCCUAUCAGCAGGGAAGAAAAUGACGGUACCUGAAUAAGAAGCCCCGGCUAACUACGUGCCAGCAGCCGCGGUAAUACGUAGGGGGCAAGCGUUAUCCGGAUUUACUGGGUGUAAAGGGGGCGCAGGCGGCAGUGCAAGUCAGAAGUGAAAGCCCAAGGCACAACCCAGGGACUGCUUUUGAAACUGUGCAGCUAGAGUGCAGGAGAGGUAGGUGGAAUUCCUAGUGUAGCGGUGAAAUGCGUAGAUAUUAGGAGGAACACCAGUGGCGAAGGCGGCUUGCUGGACUGUAAAUGACGUUGAGGCUCGAAAGCGUGGGGAGCAAACAGGAUUAGAUACCCUGGUAGUC